UGCAUCUGAACAUGUCGCAGGCGUAUAGAGGACCGAAUUUAUCAAGUCUCAGUGUAGAUGCUCUAGUUCUAGCAAUUAAAAUAGUCAACAUGCCGGUCCAUACAUUUCUGAGGCCCUCGAGCAAGACAACAAAAUGGGGCCCUUGUAGAUAGAUAAAAAUUUGAAAUGUGCCGUAUUUUCUCCUUACACAUCUGGAUAUGGGCUCGAUCUCGAUGUGAAUGUCAAACAAUUUGCAAAAAAAAGAGUCAAUACAGGGAACAAAAGCACCUGGAUAUGGGCUCGAUCUCGAUGUGAAAUUGUCGAUGUAUCUUCGCAGAUCUGCAAGGCCGCAACUCUCAUACUCCUUCCCCCCUUCUCAUCUCUUGAAUCUUGCAUGUGCUCCCUACACUCUCUCUAUAUCAAGUUUGCAGUUGGUCACCUGCCAAUAAAUCAGUUUUCAUCGAACAGAACUGAUAUAACAAAUUAACAGAGGACCAAGCAGCAGAGAAAUGGCAACCUCUUUUAGGCAGCGAUCGUUCCAGAGAUGCACCGGCGAGUACAGAUUGAUGAUGUGUGCUUGAACCCUCCUUCCCUUGCUCUGAGUCUUUCAGAUCCAAGAAGAGAGGAACAUGCCUGCAGUAGAAGAGAUUGACGAACAAGCCCGCGGUAGAAGAGGAAGAAGAGAAUUGAAGAUGUUAGAUGGAGCAAUCAGUGCCGGCGAGCGAGGCUAUUUAACAUCAAAUCUAGUGCCGUUGAAGAUGGAGAAAAUCAGGUAAUACUGGAUUAGGGGAAGGAGGGAGACAUUGAGGAUGAAAAAAGAAACGGUUAGGGAAGGGAAUAGCCACGCACCAUUGAUCUCCAUUAAUGACGGCACGGGAGCGGCAUCCUCGAAUCUUCCAUGAGGAACAUGCCUAUGAAGGAGGAGUCAACAAGGGCAGGAGGCGAGGAGACCGGCAGGACCCCAGGAGGCGAGGCGAGGAAAGGGGCCCAGGGCGGGCGCCCCGUUGCCCCGGCCUCUCGGCCAG
Molecule: long non-coding RNA, 1004 nt
Filed under: Hordeum vulgare
Lineage: Eukaryota; Viridiplantae; Streptophyta; Magnoliopsida; Poales; Poaceae
Description: long non-coding RNA (HVUL_LNC019344)
Source: RNAcentral